Molecule: transfer RNA, 75 nt
Filed under: Rhodospirillaceae bacterium
Lineage: Bacteria; Pseudomonadati; Pseudomonadota; Alphaproteobacteria; Rhodospirillales; Rhodospirillaceae
Also listed under: 4 other names
Description: tRNA-Val
Rfam family: tRNA
About the family: Transfer RNA (tRNA) molecules are approximately 80 nucleotides in length. Their secondary structure includes four short double-helical elements and three loops (D, anti-codon, and T loops). Further hydrogen bonds mediate the characteristic L-shaped molecular structure. tRNAs have two regions of fundamental functional importance: the anti-codon, which is responsible for specific mRNA codon recognition, and the 3' end, to which the tRNAs corresponding amino acid is attached (by aminoacyl-tRNA synthetases). tRNAs cope with the degeneracy of the genetic code in two manners: having more than one tRNA (with a specific anti-codon) for a particular amino acid; and 'wobble' base-pairing, i.e. permitting non-standard base-pairing at the 3rd anti-codon position.
Source: RNAcentral
GGGCGCGUAGCUCAGCGGGAGAGCGUUCCGUUCACACCGGAGAGGUCGCUGGUUCAAUCCCAGCCGCGCCCACCA